AGGACGAACGCUUGCGACGUGCCUAAGAAAUGCAAGUCGAACGGACCAGCAGCAAUGCUGGUUAGUGGCGAACGGUCGCGUAACACGUGGGCAACCUGCCCUGAAGCGGGGGACAACAACUCGAAAGAGUUGCUAAUACCGCAUGUGUAUCGCUGUGGCAUCACAGAGGAUACAAAGCCGCAAGGCACUUCAGGAUGGGCCCGCGGCCUAUCAGCUAGUUGGUGAGGUAACGGCCCACCAAGGCUUCGACGGGUAGCUGGUCUGAGAGGACGAUCAGCCGGAUUGGGACUGAGAUACGGCCCAGACUCCUACGGGGGGCAGCAAUUAGGAAUCUUGCACAAUGGGCGAAAGCCUGAUGCAGCGACGUCGCGUGAAGGAUGAAAUCUUUCGGGAUGUAAACUUCUUUUACCAGGGAAGAAUAAAUGACGGUACCUGGUGAAUAAGCCCGGCUAACUACGUGCCAGCAGCCGCGGU
Molecule: ribosomal RNA, 474 nt
Filed under: uncultured bacterium
Lineage: Bacteria
Description: SSU rRNA
Rfam family: Bacterial small subunit ribosomal RNA
Source: RNAcentral